GAAGAGAACCCUAUCACUCAGCCA
RNAcentral lists this non-coding RNA (24 nucleotides) under Arabidopsis thaliana (thale cress). The record is from RNAcentral. Lineage: Eukaryota; Viridiplantae; Streptophyta; Magnoliopsida; Brassicales; Brassicaceae.